GCCUGGCACCACAUUCACCGCUUUCCAACGCAAAUGAGAGAAGACAGAAAAUGGUUCGGAUGAAAACUUGAAUGGUUUGCCUGAGGGGCGUUGCCUGAACUCAGUAUGAGACAGCAUUCUUAGCCACGAUUCCUAACAACUCCGCCCGUCAAGUCACUGGUAAGCACCCCAGCCCUUUUAACAGCCCCGGGAACAAUUGCCGCUCGUUAGAUCCUUGCCUUAUAGGCGUUUUUGUUUUUGUUUUUGCUUUCUCUUUUCUCUUUCCCUUUAGAAUAGUAACCUCCCAAGGCGAUCUUGGUAAGAAUGCAUUGGAACUUCUAGAAAAUAGUAUGCCACAAGAGAUCUCCAUAACUAGCGCCGGUUCAUAGUAGAAGUUGCUAUUUCUCUAAUUAUGUAACAAUUGCUGGACCUGAAAUAGGACGCUCAUGGUUGUACAGUACAUGCUGUUCUCGAGGCCUGUUGUCCUACCCUUCUCAGUAAAGGAUAUAAUCAAUAACCU
Molecule: small RNA, 499 nt
Filed under: Histoplasma ohiense
Lineage: Eukaryota; Fungi; Ascomycota; Eurotiomycetes; Onygenales; Ajellomycetaceae
Description: hypothetical lncRNA
Source: RNAcentral